Molecule: ribosomal RNA, 1430 nt
Filed under: uncultured organism
Description: partial small subunit ribosomal RNA
Rfam family: Bacterial small subunit ribosomal RNA
Source: RNAcentral
CGUGCUUAACACAUGCAAGUCGAACGGAAAGGCCCUGCUUUUGUGGGGUGCUCGAGUGGCGAACGGGUGAGUAACACGUGAGUAACCUGCCCUUGACUUUGGGAUAACUUCAGGAAACUGGGGCUAAUACCGGAUAGGAGCUCCUGCUGCAUGGUGGGGGUUGGAAAGUUUCGGCGGUUGGGGAUGGACUCGCGGCUUAUCAGCUUGUUGGUGGGGUAGUGGCUUACCAAGGCUUUGACGGGUAGCCGGCCUGAGAGGGUGACCGGCCACAUUGGGACUGAGAUACGGCCCAGACUCCUACGGGAGGCAGCAGUGGGGAAUAUUGCACAAUGGGCGGAAGCCUGAUGCAGCAACGCCGCGUGCGGGAUGACGGCCUUCGGGUUGUAAACCGCUUUCGCCUGUGACGAAGCGUGAGUGACGGUAAUGGGUAAAGAAGCACCGGCUAACUACGUGCCAGCAGCCGCGGUGAUACGUAGGGUGCGAGCGUUGUCCGGAUUUAUUGGGCGUAAAGGGCUCGUAGGUGGUUGAUCGCGUCGGAAGUGUAAUCUUGGGGCUUAACCCUGAGCGUGCUUUCGAUACGGGUUGACUUGAGGAAGGUAGGGGAGAAUGGAAUUCCUGGUGGAGCGGUGGAAUGCGCAGAUAUCAGGAGGAACACCAGUGGCGAAGGCGGUUCUCUGGGCCUUUCCUGACGCUGAGGAGCGAAAGCGUGGGGAGCGAACAGGCUUAGAUACCCUGGUAGUCCACGCUGUAAACGGUGGGUACUAGGUGUGGGGUCCAUUCCACGGGUUCCGUGCCGUAGCUAACGCUUUAAGUACCCCGCCUGGGGAGUACGGCCGCAAGGCUAAAACUCAAAGGAAUUGACGGGGCCCCGCACAAGCGGCGGAGCAUGCGGAUUAAUUCGAUGCAACGCGUAGAACCUUACCUGGGUUUGACAUGGAUCGGGAGUGCUCAGAGAUGGGUGUGCCUCUUUUGGGGUCGGUUCACAGGUGGUGCAUGGCUGUCGUCAGCUCGUGUCGUGAGAUGUUGGGUUAAGUCCCGCAACGAGCGCAACCCUUGUUCACUGUUGCCAGCACGUUAUGGUGGGGACUCAGUGGAGACCGCCGGGGUCAACUCGGAGGAAGGUGGGGAUGACGUCAAGUCAUCAUGCCCCUUAUGUCCAGGGCUUCACGCAUGCUACAAUGGCUGGUACAGAGAGUGGCGAGCCUGUGAGGGUGAGCGAAUCUCGGAAAGCCGGUCUCAGUUCGGAUUGGGGUCUGCAACUCGACCUCAUGAAGUCGGAGUCGCUAGUAAUCGCAGAUCAGCAACGCUGCGGUGAAUACGUUCCCGGGGCUUGUACACACCGCCCGUCAAGUCAUGAAAGUUGGUAACACCCGAAGCCGGUGGCCUAACCGUUGUGGGGGAGCCGUCGAAGGUGGGACUGGUGAUUAGGC